This 315-nucleotide long non-coding RNA is filed under the name Salvia miltiorrhiza (redroot sage). Its description in RNAcentral is "long non-coding RNA (SMIL_LNC011180)". The record is from RNAcentral. Lineage: Eukaryota; Viridiplantae; Streptophyta; Magnoliopsida; Lamiales; Lamiaceae.
UAGCGGCGGCGGCGGCAGAGUUCACCGGAGAAGUGGAAUUGAAAGGGGAAAUUUAGAGAGAACCCUAGGUAGCUUUAAUUUGAGGAAUUGGGAAAAGAGAGAAGAUAGAAAAGAGGAGGGAGGAGAGGCGCCAGCCUCGCCGCGCCGGAGGCGGUGAGAACCGGCAACGUCCGCUGAAGAAGGAAGGGAGAGAGACGGUAGGGGCUGUUUCCUGAAAUUAAUGGGGACGAAUCCAUCUAUUAAACCCAUCUGAUGGGUCUCAACUCUCAAGGCUUACUUUUUACCUUUUUGGGGUUAGUUAAUACAUUAAUGGGC